Globicephala melas (long-finned pilot whale) is the source of this 499-nucleotide long non-coding RNA. RefSeq lists it as uncharacterized. NCBI's taxonomy places the organism in Eukaryota, Metazoa, Chordata, Mammalia, Artiodactyla, Delphinidae. The record is from RefSeq and is a predicted model, not a curated record.
CAGGCACUCCAGGUCCGACCGGCGGGAGGCGCUGCGGGGCAGCCUCCUAGGAGGACGUGACUCAAGGGGCCGGUGGGUGGAGCUGGGAACCCAGGCUGGAGGAUAAGGGCUGAUGUCCGUCACUCACCCGGCUGAAGCCUCCGUCUCCGGCCAAGGCCCCUGGCCGGUCCCAGGCAGUUAGACCCACAGGUACGGGACCCAAGAUGAAGCAACGGGUUCAAGGUCACGUAAGAGUCUGUACCAAGAUGCAAACCCAACGUCGUGAUGCCAGGAUGGGUGUUCUUUCUGCCACACCAUUUAUUAUCAGCACUGCUGUUCCCACCUCGGGAGGUCUGGGGGGCUAGUCAAGGAUGGUUGGGGCCUCCCUUCUCCCCGCCAGAAGCGCUGAGGGUCAUGGUGAAAACUGAAUAAAGGAAUUCAAAGAAAGCUGGCAAACUGAAGAUCUUAAAUGACGUCUAUGAUGAGGAUGGUGGAAGGAGGAAGAGGAGGAAGAAUAACA